AUUGAACGCUGGCGGCAGGCCUAACACAUGCAAGUCGAACGGUAACAGGAAGAAGCUUGCUUCUUUGCUGACGAGUGGCGGACGUGUGAGUAAUGUCUGGGACACUGCCUGAUGGCGGGGGAUAACUACUGGAAACGGUAGCUAAUACCGCAUAACGUCGCAAGACCAAAGUGGGGGACCUUAGGGCGUCUUGCCAGUGGAUGUUCCCAGAUGGGAUUAGCUAGUAGGUGGGGUAAAGGCUUACCAAGGCGACGAGCCCUAGCUGGUCUGAGAGGAUGAUCGGCCACACUGGAACUGAGACACGGUCCAGACUCCUACGGGAGGCAGCAGUGGGGAAUAUUGCACAAUGGGCGCAAGCCUGAUGCAGCCAUGCCGCGUGUAUGAAGAAGGCCUUCGGGUUGUAAAGUACUUUCAGCGGGGAGGAAGGGAGUAAAGUUAAUACCUUUGCUCAUUGACGUUACCCGCAGAAGAAGCACCGGCUAACUCCGUG
This 490-nucleotide ribosomal RNA is filed under the name uncultured bacterium. Its description in RNAcentral is "partial 16S ribosomal RNA". It matches the Rfam family "Bacterial small subunit ribosomal RNA", at positions 30 to 507 of the family's 1533-position model. The record is from RNAcentral.